ACAAAUAUAGUUAGAAUUGCUUAAGUUAUAAGGCACCCUUAUGUUACCCGUCUACAAAAGGUCAAUAUAGAGUAACCUUAUAUAGGUCCUGAAAGACCUACUAAAAGAAAGUUGAUUAGCUUCAAAAAAAUGUGUGGUAGACAAAGUCUUGACGUUUCACGAAAGAGGAUAGCUUACAAAUAAUUUAGCAAACACUUGGAGUGUAAAAAAGAGAAAAAAAA
This 221-nucleotide long non-coding RNA is filed under the name Musa acuminata (dwarf banana). RNAcentral describes it as "long non-coding RNA (MACU_LNC000450)". Lineage: Eukaryota; Viridiplantae; Streptophyta; Magnoliopsida; Zingiberales; Musaceae. The record is from RNAcentral.